Molecule: ribosomal RNA, 253 nt
Filed under: uncultured bacterium
Lineage: Bacteria
Description: partial 16S ribosomal RNA
Rfam family: Bacterial small subunit ribosomal RNA
Source: RNAcentral
UACGUAGGGUGCUAGCGUUGUUCGGAAUCAUUGGGCGUAAAGCGCGUGUAGGCGGUCAUUUAAGUCUGGUGUGAAAGCCCUGGGCUCAACCGAGGAAGUGCAUCAGAAACUAAAUGACUAGAAGACGGUAGAGGAAGGUGGAAUUCCAGGUGUAGAGGUGAAAUUCGUAGAUAUCUGGAGGAAUACCGGUGGCGAAGGCGGCCUUCUGGGCCGAUCUUGACGCUGAGACGCGAAAGCGUGGGGAGCAAACAGG